AAGUAGAAUAAGGAAAAGAAUAAAAUAAAAGGUUUAUUUAAUUCCUUAUAAUUUUUUUUUAUUAUUAUUAUUUUAUAUGAAACAACUCUUCGUCUUCUUCUUCCUUGUGCCACCUGAGACCUAGUCUCUCCCUUGUUUUCGUUUCUCCAGCCGUCGACGACGCAACUCGUGACCAUGCCGCCUCCAGCCAUCAACGCUCCACUCGACGUCAGUCCGAGUCGUCUUCGCCGCCGCCGACCCAGCCCGCUCCCGCUGCGUCAUUGCAGAGCUCAUCCCCGCCCUCUGGAUCGGCGCAUCCCUCUGGAUCCACGCAUUCGCCGCCCCUCUGCCGGAAACCCAGCCUCGUUCACCGCUUCAGCCGUCGCUUCACGUUUUGUCCAGCUGCAAACUCGCGCGACCGGAAACCAAACUUCGUUGGCCGCUCAUCCAGCCCACUGCCCGAGCCCAGCCGCCGAUCUCCGCUGGUCACUGGCUUCCUUCACUGUCGUUCGUCGGAUUUCGAUGAACGUUGAUAAGUUUUGGAUCCAUGAUUGGAGUACUUCAGAGUGCGCAACGUGUUGACCAACGGAUUCGAGUUCGUUCGGCAAGUAGUUUGGGGACUCAAUUAAUGACUUAUUUGGUUGGAGAUCAUUAGCUUGGAUUAAUAUUUGAAUUUGACUUCGAGGUAAAGGUAGAGAUGUGCUGGUGAUGGACGAGUGGAAUUUGUGAUCGAGCCAUUGAGACUAGUUUUAUGCUUCCGCUCAUGAGAUUUAGAUUUUUUUUCAUGUUUUUCUUAACUUUCAGUUUUGAUGUUUAAAACUUACUAUUAAGAAUCGUUUUCAGACU
Non-coding RNA from Benincasa hispida (wax gourd), 825 nucleotides. The record is from RefSeq and is a predicted model, not a curated record. NCBI's taxonomy places the organism in Eukaryota, Viridiplantae, Streptophyta, Magnoliopsida, Cucurbitales, Cucurbitaceae.